RNAcentral lists this ribosomal RNA (494 nucleotides) under uncultured bacterium. RNAcentral describes it as "partial 16S ribosomal RNA". It matches the Rfam family "Bacterial small subunit ribosomal RNA", at positions 28 to 507 of the family's 1533-position model. The record is from RNAcentral.
GACGAACGCUGGCGGCGUGCUUAACACAUGCAAGUCGAACGGAAAGGCCUGCUUUCCCUUGGGGGCUGGGGGUACUCGAGUGGCGAACGGGUGAGUAACACGUGAGUGAUCUGCCCCCAACUUGGGAAUAAGCCUGGGAUACUGCGUCUAAUUCGCGAUAGGACCGCGGGGUGGUGCCUGUGGUGGAAGACGAUUUUCUAGUGGUUGGGGAUGAGCUCGCGGCCUGUGAGCUUGUUGGUGGGGUAAUGGUCUACCAAGGCGGGGACGGGUAGCCGGCCCGCGAGGGUGGACCGGCACAUUGGGACUGAGACACGGCGCCGACGGCUAGGAGCGGCAGCAGAGGGGAGUCAGGCGCGGUGAGCCGGAGCCUGAUGCAGCGACGCCGCGUGGGAGAUGCCGGGCUUGGGAUUGUAAUCUCCUUGGGACAGAGAGCAAGCCACCUGGACGGAGGGGUGGUGACGGUAGUGGUAGAAGAAGCACCGGCUAACUACGUG